AGUGAACGCUGGCGGUAGGCCUAACACAUGCAAGUCGAACGGCAGCACAGUAAGAGCUUGCUCUUACGGGUGGCGAGUGGCGGACGGGUGAGGAAUACAUCGGAAUCUACUUUUUCGUGGGGGAUAACGUAGGGAAACUUACGCUAAUACCGCAUACGACCUACGGGUGAAAGCAGGGGAUCUUCGGACCUUGCGCGAUUGAAUGAGCCGAUGUCGGAUUAGCUAGUUGGCGGGGUAAAGGCCCACCAAGGCGACGAUCCGUAGCUGGUCUGAGAGGAUGAUCAGCCACACUGGAACUGAGACACGGUCCAGACUCCUACGGGAGGCAGCAGUGGGGAAUAUUGGACAAUGGGCGCAAGCCUGAUCCAGCCAUACCGCGUGGGUGAAGAAGGCCUUCGGGUUGUAAAGCCCUUUUGUUGGGAAAGAAAAGCAGCAGGUUAAUACCCCGCUGUGCUGACGGUACCCAAAGAAUAAGCACCGGCUAACUUCGUG
This 492-nucleotide ribosomal RNA is filed under the name uncultured bacterium. RNAcentral describes it as "partial 16S ribosomal RNA". It matches the Rfam family "Bacterial small subunit ribosomal RNA", at positions 29 to 507 of the family's 1533-position model. The record is from RNAcentral.